This is a non-coding RNA of Triticum urartu, 115 nucleotides long. The record is from Rfam. NCBI's taxonomy places the organism in Eukaryota, Viridiplantae, Streptophyta, Magnoliopsida, Poales, Poaceae.
AUGAUACUCCCUUCGUUCCAAAUUACUUGUCGCGGAAAUGGAUGUAUCCAGAACUAAAAUACAUCUAAAUACAUUCAUACCAGCGACAAGUAAUUCGGAACAGAGGGAGUACCUC